RNAcentral lists this long non-coding RNA (415 nucleotides) under Triticum aestivum (bread wheat). Its description in RNAcentral is "long non-coding RNA (TAES_LNC023700)". The record is from RNAcentral. Lineage: Eukaryota; Viridiplantae; Streptophyta; Magnoliopsida; Poales; Poaceae.
GUGGUUUUCUGAAUAUACGCAGCAGGGUUUUGUUCUGUAUAUCCAGCCGGUGCUCUGAAUAUGUACAACACAUAAUCAGGUGAUCAUUGGAGAUAUCAUCCAUCCUUAAGCAUUUAAUUCAGUAAAGAUUAGAUUCCUUUUUUUUGCGGGGUAGUAAAGAUUAGAUUCCCAGCUGAAAGCAGCACAGGAGGCACUUGUCUGGACCCUAAUUCCUCUGUUUUAUUAGGCACAUCCACUUGUGGAGUCAUCAGAAGUAUGACCAGUCUCCAAAUGCCAGCUUGCAUAGUAUAUUUUGAAAGGAAGAAGCUACUCAUGUUGGACAAGAUGCAGCCAGCUCAGAGAGAGAUAAAUUCGGCUUCAGCAGGUUGCAUCUUUUCUUCCGACUUUGAUUUUGGUAACAGAAACAGAGUGCCUU